This 445-nucleotide ribosomal RNA is filed under the name uncultured bacterium. RNAcentral describes it as "bacterial SSU rRNA". It matches the Rfam family "Bacterial small subunit ribosomal RNA", at positions 338 to 795 of the family's 1533-position model. The record is from RNAcentral.
CCUACGGGAGGCACCAGUGGGGAAUAUUGCACAAUGGGCGGAAGCCUGAUGCAGCGACGCCGCGUGAGGGAUGACGGCCUUCGGGUUGUAAACCUCUUUCAGCAGGGACGAAGCGUAAGUGACGGUACCUGCAGAAGAAGCACCGGCUAACUACGUGCCAGCAGCCGCGGUAAUACGUAGGGUGCGAGCGUUGUCCGGAAUUACUGGGCGUAAAGAGCUCGUAGGCGGUUUGUCACGUCGUCGGUGAAAUCCUAGGGCUUAACCCUGGACGUGCAGGCGAUACGGGCUGACUUGAGUACUACAGGGGAGACUGGAAUUUCCGGUGUAGCGGUGGAAUGCACAGAUAUCAGGAAGAACACCGAUGGCGAAGGCAGGUCGCUGGGUAGUAACUGACGCUGAGGAGCGAAAGCAUGGGUAGCGAACAGGAUUAGAUACCCCUGUAGUC